GAUGAACGCUGGCGGCGUGCCUAAUACAUGCAAGUCGAGCGAACAGACGAGGAGCUUGCUCCUUUGACGUUAGCGGCUGACGGGUGAGUAACACGUGGGUAACCUACCUAUAAUGCUGGGAUAACUUCGGGAAACCGGAGCUAAUACCGGCUAAUAUUUCGAACCGCAUGGUUCGAUAGUGAAAGAUGGCUUUGCUAUCACUUAUAGCUGGACCUGCGCCGUAUUAGCUAGUUGGUAAGGUAACGGCUUACCAAGGCAACGAUACGUAGCCGACCUGAGAGGGUGAUCGGCCACACUGGAACUGAGACACGGUCCAGACUCCUACGGGAGGCAGCAGUAGGGAAUCUUCCGCAAUGGGCGAAAGCCUGACGGAGCAACGCCGCGUGAGUGAUGAAGGUCUUCGGAUCGUAAAACUCUGUUAUUAGGGAAGAACAAACGUGGAAGUAACUGUGCACGUCUUGACGGUACCUAAUCAGAAAGCCACGGCUAACUACGUG
RNAcentral lists this ribosomal RNA (497 nucleotides) under uncultured bacterium. RNAcentral's name for it is "partial 16S ribosomal RNA". It matches the Rfam family "Bacterial small subunit ribosomal RNA", at positions 28 to 507 of the family's 1533-position model. The record is from RNAcentral.